This 281-nucleotide long non-coding RNA is filed under the name Gallus gallus (chicken). RNAcentral describes it as "lncRNA (ENSGALG00010014064.1)". Lineage: Eukaryota; Metazoa; Chordata; Aves; Galliformes; Phasianidae. The record is from RNAcentral.
CUGCUAUUGAAUUGUGGUCAAGGAAUUUAAGAGCUCCUUUUUAAACAGUUUUUAAACUACUUUUUCUUAUUUGCUAAUAGCUUUUGGACAUGAAGCACAGGAUCCUGGUGAUGUGAAGAGCAGGCAAGAGGGAGCACUGGGAGCACCACACAUGAAUGUUGCUCACUGGCACAUAGCAGGAAGGCACUGAUGGAGAGCUGCCACCUCUUGGAUCUGGGACACAGGAGCUGCUCAGAGAAAACCCUCUCAGGGCUGCUCAGAUGGGCAGCCCACCUGAACAC